UCUUUUAACAUAUGCUGUUCAUUUUAAGUUUAAAAAAAAAAAAAAAAGUUAUUUAGUUGCCCAUUUCAAUGAACUCUGAACUCAAUCUCACCAUCCUGGCUUCCUCUGAGCACUUUGAGCGGCAUCUCAGGGGUGUGGAUUUGGGCCCCAUUCACCAAGGUUGUAUUGAGAAAGUGACUUUUCAACUUCUUUGAAAAUCUCUUCACCUGUGUGGUUGUUCCAUGCAUACUAUUCACAGAAGCUAGUUCUUCCAUAACUACUCAAAAUUACUGCUGACCCCGCGAAUAAACAACAGCAGCUGCGAAGUAUCAGAAACAUUGGUUGACUCGGCAAGUGCGAGGGAAAACCACUCAAACUUCUUAGCCUUUUCAUUCAGCUGGAAAAUUAUAUUACUGCCAAUGUCCUCGAUUCUGUGAGCAACUGUGUUCUCUGAAAGACUAAUUGUCUUAAAUAAAUCUACUUUUUCUGGG
This is a long non-coding RNA of Dermochelys coriacea (leatherback sea turtle), 470 nucleotides long. RefSeq lists it as uncharacterized. The transcript has 2 exons. Lineage: Eukaryota; Metazoa; Chordata; Testudines; Dermochelyidae. The record is from RefSeq and is a predicted model, not a curated record.